Molecule: ribosomal RNA, 274 nt
Filed under: uncultured bacterium
Lineage: Bacteria
Description: partial 16S ribosomal RNA
Rfam family: Bacterial small subunit ribosomal RNA
Source: RNAcentral
CUACGGAGGGUGCAAGCGUUAAUCGGAAUUACUGGGCGUAAAGCGCACGUAGGCGGAUUAAAAAGUUAGAGGUGAAAUCCCAGGGCUUAACCCUGGAACUGCCUUUAAAACUAGUAGUCUAGAGUUCGAGAGAGGUGAGUGGAAUUCCAAGUGUAGAGGUGAAAUUCGUAGAUAUUUGGAGGAACACCAGUGGCGAAGGCGGCUCACUGGCUCGAUACUGACGCUGAGGUGCGAAAGCGUGGGGAGCAAACAGGAUUAGAAACCCUAGUAGUCC